GACGAACGCUGGCGGCGUGCCUAAUACAUGCAAGUAGAACGCACAGUUUAUACCGUAGCUUGCUACACCAUAGACUGUGAGUUGCGAACGGGUGAGUAACGCGUAGGUAACCUGCCUGGUAGCGGGGGAUAACUAUUGGAAACGAUAGCUAAUACCGCAUAAUAUUAAUUAUUGCAUGAUAAUUAAUUGAAAGGUGCAAUUGCACCACUACCAGAUGGACCUGCGUUGUAUUAGCUAGUAGGUGAGGUAACGGCUCACCUAGGCGACGAUACAUAGCCGACCUGAGAGGGUGAUCGGCCACACUGGGACUGAGACACGGCCCAGACUCCUACGGGAGGCAGCAGUAGGGAAUCUUCGGCAAUGGACGAAGGUCUGACCGAGCAACGCCGCGUGAGUGAAGAAGGUUUUCGGAUCGUAAAGCUCUGUUGUAAGAGAAGAACGGGUGUGAGAGUGGAAAGUUCACACUGUGACGGUAUCUUACCAGAAAGAGACGGCUAACUACGUG
This 505-nucleotide ribosomal RNA is filed under the name uncultured bacterium. RNAcentral describes it as "partial 16S ribosomal RNA". It matches the Rfam family "Bacterial small subunit ribosomal RNA", at positions 28 to 507 of the family's 1533-position model. The record is from RNAcentral.